UACGUAGGGAGCGAGCGUUGUCCGGAAUUACUGGGUGUAAAGGGAGCGUAGACGGCGAUGCAAGCCAGAUGUGAAAACCCGCGGCUCAACUGCGGGACUGCAUUGGAAACUGGCGGGCUUGAGUGCCGGAGAGGCAAGCGGAAUUCCUAGUGUAGCGGUGAAAUGCGUAGAUAUUAGGAGGAACACCAGUGGCGAAGGCGGCUUGCUGGACGGUAACUGACGCUGAGGCUCGAAAGCGUGGGGAGCAAACAGG
Molecule: ribosomal RNA, 253 nt
Filed under: uncultured Eubacteriales bacterium
Lineage: Bacteria; Bacillati; Bacillota; Clostridia; Eubacteriales
Description: uncultured Clostridiales bacterium partial 16S ribosomal RNA
Rfam family: Bacterial small subunit ribosomal RNA
Source: RNAcentral